This 73-nucleotide transfer RNA is filed under the name Bacteroidales bacterium. RNAcentral describes it as "tRNA-Thr". It matches the Rfam family "tRNA". From Rfam's summary of the family: Transfer RNA (tRNA) molecules are approximately 80 nucleotides in length. Their secondary structure includes four short double-helical elements and three loops (D, anti-codon, and T loops). Lineage: Bacteria; Pseudomonadati; Bacteroidota; Bacteroidia; Bacteroidales. The record is from RNAcentral.
GCCGAAAUAGCUCAGUUGGUAGAGCACUGCAUUCGUAAUGCAAAGGUCGCGGGUUCGACUCCCGCUUUCGGCU